RNAcentral lists this ribosomal RNA (253 nucleotides) under uncultured bacterium. Its description in RNAcentral is "partial 16S ribosomal RNA". It matches the Rfam family "Bacterial small subunit ribosomal RNA", at positions 524 to 776 of the family's 1533-position model. The record is from RNAcentral.
UACGUAGGGUGCGAGCGUUAAUCGGAAUUACUGGGCGUAAAGCGUGCGCAGGCGGUUUUGUAAGCCAGAUGUGAAAUCCCCGGGCUUAACCUGGGAACGGCAUUUGGGACUGCAAGGCUCGAGUGCGGCAGAGGAGACUGGAAUUCCUGGUGUAGCAGUGAAAUGCGUAGAUAUCAGGAGGAAGACCAGUGGCGAAGGCGGGUCUCUGGACAGUUCCUGACACUGAGGCACGAAGGCCAGGGGAGCAAACGGG